Bombyx mori (domestic silkworm) is the source of this 78-nucleotide non-coding RNA. The record is from Rfam. NCBI's taxonomy places the organism in Eukaryota, Metazoa, Arthropoda, Insecta, Lepidoptera, Bombycidae.
UUCACUCAAAUUUGUAUGGAGUUGGAACGUUUUCUUACUUUUCGGGGCGCUGUUCCAACUGCAUACAAAUUAAAGUUA